RNAcentral lists this ribosomal RNA (465 nucleotides) under Vreelandella stevensii. RNAcentral describes it as "partial 16S ribosomal RNA". It matches the Rfam family "Bacterial small subunit ribosomal RNA", at positions 338 to 795 of the family's 1533-position model. Lineage: Bacteria; Pseudomonadati; Pseudomonadota; Gammaproteobacteria; Oceanospirillales; Halomonadaceae. The record is from RNAcentral.
CCUACGGGUGGCAGCAGUGGGGAAUAUUGGACAAUGGGGGCAACCCUGAUCCAGCCAUGCCGCGUGUGUGAAGAAGGCCCUCGGGUUGUAAAGCACUUUCAGUGAGGAAGAACGCCUGGUGGUUAAUACCCAUCAGGAAAGACAUCACUCACAGAAGAAGCACCGGCUAACUCCGUGCCAGCAGCCGCGGUAAUACGGAGGGUGCGAGCGUUAAUCGGAAUUACUGGGCGUAAAGCGCGCGUAGGUGGCUUGAUAAGCCGGUUGUGAAAGCCCCGGGCUCAACCUGGGAACGGCAUCCGGAACUGUCAAGCUAGAGUGCAGGAGAGGAAGGUAGAAUUCCCGGUGUAGCGGUGAAAUGCGUAGAGAUCGGGAGGAAUACCAGUGGCGAAGGCGGCCUUCUGGACUGACACUGACACUGAGGUGCGAAAGCGUGUGUAGCAAACAGGAUUAGAUACCCGUGUAGUC